GACGAACGCUGGCGGCGUGCUUAACACAUGCAAGUCGAACGGAGCGAAUGAAAGCUUGCUUUUAUGAGCUUAGUGGCAAACGGGUGAGUAACACGUAGACAACCUGCCGACAGGAUGGGGACAACAUUCCGAAAGGAAUGCUAAUACCGAAUGAAGCGGAGGAGAGGCAUCUCUCUUCCGUGAAAGAUGGCCUCUAUUUAUAAGCUAUCACCUGUCGAUGGGUCUGCGUCUGAUUAGCUGGUUGGUGAGGUAACGGCUCACCAAGGCGACGAUCAGUAGCCGGUCUGAGAGGAUGAACGGCCACAUUGGGACUGAGACACGGCCCAGACUCCUACGGGAGGCAGCAGUGGGGAAUCUUCCGCAAUGGGCGCAAGCCUGACGGAGCAACGCCGCGUGAGUGAAGAAGGUCUUCGGAUCGUAAAGCUCUGUUGACGGGGACGAACGUGCGAAGGGUGAAUAAUCCUUUG
Molecule: ribosomal RNA, 467 nt
Filed under: Centipeda dianae
Lineage: Bacteria; Bacillati; Bacillota; Negativicutes; Selenomonadales; Selenomonadaceae
Description: bacterial SSU rRNA
Rfam family: Bacterial small subunit ribosomal RNA
Source: RNAcentral